GACGAACCGUGCGACCGUUGUUCGGAUUCACUGGGCUUAAAGGGCGCGUAGGCGGGCGGUCAAGUCGGGGGUGAAAUCUUUCCGCUUAACGGGAAGCGUGCCUCCGAUACUGAUCGCCUCGAGGGAGGUAGGGGCAUGUGGAACUUCCGGUGGAGCGGUGAAAUGCGUAGAUAUCGGGAGGAACACCAGUGGCGAAGGCGGCUUUCUGGUCUGCUCUUGACGCUGAGGCGCGAAAGCUAGGGUAGCAAACGGG
This 253-nucleotide ribosomal RNA is filed under the name uncultured bacterium. Its description in RNAcentral is "partial 16S ribosomal RNA". It matches the Rfam family "Bacterial small subunit ribosomal RNA", at positions 524 to 776 of the family's 1533-position model. The record is from RNAcentral.